Molecule: ribosomal RNA, 292 nt
Filed under: uncultured bacterium
Lineage: Bacteria
Description: partial 16S ribosomal RNA
Rfam family: Bacterial small subunit ribosomal RNA
Source: RNAcentral
GUGUCAGCAGCCGCGGUAAUACGUAGGGUGCGAACGUUGUUCGGAAUCACUGGGCAUAAAGAGCGCGUAGGCGGUCUAAUAAGUCGGGUGUGAAAUCCCUCGGCUCAACCGGGGAACUGCACCUGAUACUGUUGGGCUUGAGUGCAGGAGGGGAGAGCGGAAUUCCUGGUGGAGCGGUGAAAUGCGUAGAUAUCAGGAGGAACGCCGGCGGCGAAAGCGGCUCUCUGGCCUGUAACUGACGCUGAGGCGCGAAAGCUAGGGGAGCAAACGGGAUUAGAAACCCCUGUAGUCC